AGGUAAGCUACUAAGAGCGAAUGGUGGAUGCCUUGACUGGUAAAGGCGAUGAAGGACGUACUAGACUGCGAUAAGCUACGGGGAGCUGUCAAGAAGCUUUGAUCCGUAGAUUUCCGAAUGGGGCAACCCAAUGUAUAGAGAUAUACAUUACCUAUAUAGGAGCGAACGAGGGGAAUUGAAACAUCUUAGUACCCUCAGGAAAAGAAAUCAAUAGAGAUUGCGUCAGUAGCGGCGAGCGAAAGCGCAAGAGGGCAAACCCAGUGCUUGCACUGGGGGUUGUAGGACUGCAAUGUGCAAGAGCUGAGUUUAGCAGAACAUUCUGGAAAGUAUAGCCAUAGAGGGUGAUAGUCCCGUAUGCGAAAAACAAAGCUUAGCUAGCAGUAUCCUGAGUAGGGCGGGACACGAGGAAUCCUGUCUGAAUCCGGGUCGACCACGAUCCAACCCUAAAUACUAAUACCAGAUCGAUAGUGCACAAGUACCGUGAGGGAAAGGUGAAAAGAACUGAGGUGAUCAGAGUGAAAUAGAACCUGAAACCAUUUGCUUACAAUCAUUCAGAGCACUAUGUAGCAAUACAGUGUGAUGGACUGCCUUUUGCAUAAUGAGCCUGCGAGUUGUGGUGUCUGGCAAGGUUAAGCAAACGCGAAGCCGUAGCGAAAGCGAGUCUGAAUAGGGCGCUUAGUCAGAUGCUGCAGACCCGAAACGAAGUGAUCUAUCCAUGAGCAAGUUGAAGCUAGUGUAAGAACUAGUGGAGGACUGAACCCAUAGGCGUUGAAAAGCCCCGGGAUGACUUGUGGAUAGGGGUGAAAGGCCAAUCAAACUUCGUGAUAGCUGGUUCUCUCCGAAAUAUAUUUAGGUAUAGCGUUGUGUCGUAAUAUAAGGGGGUAGAGCACUGAAUGGGCUAGGGCAUACACCAAUGUACCAAACCCUAUCAAACUCCGAAUACCUUAUAUGUAAUCACAGCAGUCAGGCGGCGAGUGAUAAAAUCCGUCGUCAAGAGGGAAACAACCCAGACUACCAGCUAAGGUCCCUAAAUCUUACUUAAGUGGAAAACGAUGUGAAGUUACUUAAACAACCAGGAGGUUGGCUUAGAAGCAGCCAUCCUUUAAAGAAAGCGUAAUAGCUCACUGGUCUAGUGAUUUUGCGCGGAAAAUAUAACGGGGCUAAAGUAAGUACCGAAGCUGUAGACUUGCACACAACUUAGAUUAUUUAAGUUUAGAAUAUGAGAAACUAAGUUAUAUGUUUAGUUAUAUUUUUACUGAUUUUUAUAGAGUAAAGAUAGAAAUAAAACUUAGUAAAAUCAGUAAAAAUAUUCUUAGGCUAAAGUUAAGUAGUUUAAGUUGUGUGCAAGUGGUAGGAGAGCGUUCUAUUUGCGUCGAAGGUAUACCGGUAAGGAGUACUGGAGCGAAUAGAAGUGAGCAUGCAGGCAUGAGUAGCGAUAAUUAAUGUGAGAAUCAUUAACGCCGUAAACCCAAGGUUUCCUACGCGAUGCUCGUCAUCGUAGGGUUAGUCGGGUCCUAAGUCGAGUCCGAAAGGGGUAGACGAUGGCAAAUUGGUUAAUAUUCCAAUACCAACAUUAGUGUGCGAUGGAAGGACGCUUAGGGCUAAGGGGGCUAGCGGAUGGAAGUGCUAGUCUAAGGUUGUAGGAGGUUAUACAGGCAAAUCCGUAUAACAAUACUCCGAGAACUGAAAGGCUUUUUGAAGUCUUCGGAUGGAUAGAAGAACCCCUGAUGCCGUCGAGCCAAGAAAAGUUUCUAAGUUUAGCUAAUGUUGCCCGUACCGUAAACCGACACAGGUGGGUGGGAUGAGUAUUCUAAGGCGCGUGGAAGAACUCUCUUUAAGGAACUCUGCAAAAUAGCACCGUAUCUUCGGUAUAAGGUGUGGUUAGCUUCGUACUAGGAUUUACUCCGAAAGCGAAGAAACUUACAACAAAGAGUCCCUCCCGACUGUUUACCAAAAACACAGCACUCUGCUAACUCGUAAGAGGAUGUAUAGGGUGUGACGCCUGCCCGGUGCUCGAAGGUUAAUUGAUGGGGUUAGCAUUAGCGAAGCUCUUGAUCGAAGCCCGAGUAAACGGCGGCCGUAACUAUAACGGUCCUAAGGUAGCGAAAUUCCUUGUCGGUUAAAUACCGACCUGCAUGAAUGGCGUAACGAGAUGGGAGCUGUCUCAAAGAGGGAUCCAGUGAAAUUGUAGUGGAGGUGAAAAUUCCUCCUACCCGCGGCAAGACGGAAAGACCCCGUGGACCUUUACUACAGCUUGACACUGCUACUUGGAUAAGAAUGUGCAGGAUAGGUGGGAGGCUUUGAGUAUAUGACGCCAGUUGUAUAUGAGCCAUUGUUGAGAUACCACUCUUUCUUAUUUGGGUAGCUAACCAGCUUGAGUUAUCCUCAAGUGGGACAAUGUCUGGUGGGUAGUUUGACUGGGGCGGUCGCCUCCCAAAUAAUAACGGAGGCUUACAAAGGUUGGCUCAGAACGGUUGGAAAUCGUUCGUAGAGUAUAAAGGUAUAAGCCAGCUUAACUGCAAGACAUACAAGUCAAGCAGAGACGAAAGUCGGUCUUAGUGAUCCGGUGGUUCUGUGUGGAAGGGCCAUCGCUCAAAGGAUAAAAGGUACCCCGGGGAUAACAGGCUGAUCUCCCCCAAGAGCUCACAUCGACGGGGAGGUUUGGCACCUCGAUGUCGGCUCAUCGCAUCCUGGGGCUGGAGCAGGUCCCAAGGGUAUGGCUGUUCGCCAUUUAAAGCGGUACGCGAGCUGGGUUCAGAACGUCGUGAGACAGUUCGGUCCCUAUCUGCCGUGGGCGUAAGAAGAUUGAAGAGAUUUGACCCUAGUACGAGAGGACCGGGUUGAACAAACCACUGGUGUAGCUGUUGUUCUGCCAAGAGCAUCGCAGCGUAGCUAAGUUUGGAAAGGAUAAACGCUGAAAGCAUCUAAGCGUGAAGCCAACUCUAAGAUGAAUCUUCUCUAAGCUCUCUAGAAGACUACUAGUUUGAUAGGCUGGGUGUGUAAUGGAUGAAAGUCCUUUAGCUGACCAGUACUAAUAGAGCGUUUGGCUUAUCUUU
RNAcentral lists this ribosomal RNA (3056 nucleotides) under Campylobacter jejuni. RNAcentral's name for it is "23S ribosomal RNA". It matches the Rfam family "Bacterial large subunit ribosomal RNA". Lineage: Bacteria; Pseudomonadati; Campylobacterota; Epsilonproteobacteria; Campylobacterales; Campylobacteraceae. The record is from RNAcentral.